RNAcentral lists this long non-coding RNA (209 nucleotides) under Mytilus galloprovincialis (Mediterranean mussel). Lineage: Eukaryota; Metazoa; Mollusca; Bivalvia; Mytilida; Mytilidae. The record is from RNAcentral.
AUAUUUCAGAUAACAGAUAUCCUUCUUCGGUAAUAGCACGAUGUCAAAUGAAUCAUGUCAAUAUAUUCAAAUUGAGACACUAUCAAAAUCGUGAAAGUUUAUACAAUUUAAGCGUAUAUCACAGACGCUGGUACAAUUUUAAAAUUUCCAAACAUGGCGCAAAGAUAACAAAGGUAUGCCAAAUAAAAAUAGUGAUUUGCGAUGUGAAC